GACGAACGCUGGCGGCGUGCCUAAUACAUGCAAGUUGAGCGAUGAAGAUUGGUGCUUGCACCAAUUUGAAGAGCAGCAAACGGGUGAGUAACGCGUGGGGAAUCUGCCUUUGAGCGGGGGACAACAUUUGGAAACGAAUGCUAAUACCGCAUAACAACUUUAAACAUAAGUUUUAAGUUUGAAAGAUGCAAUUGCAUCACUCAAAGAUGAUCCCGCGUUGUAUUAGCUAGUUGGUGAGGUAAAGGCUCACCAAGGCGAUGAUACAUAGCCGACCUGAGAGGGUGAUCGGCCACAUUGGGACUGAGACACGGCCCAAACUCCUACGGGAGGCAGCAGUAGGGAAUCUUCGGCAAUGGACGAAAGUCUGGCCGAGCAACGCCGCGUGAGUGAAGAAGGUUUUCGGAUCGUAAAACUCUGUUGGUAGAGAAGAACGUUGGUGAGAGUGGAAAGCUCAUCAAGUGACGGUAACUACCCAGAAAGGGACGGCUAACUACGUG
Molecule: ribosomal RNA, 497 nt
Filed under: uncultured bacterium
Lineage: Bacteria
Description: partial 16S ribosomal RNA
Rfam family: Bacterial small subunit ribosomal RNA
Source: RNAcentral